AGGUCGCUACAGGCGUCGUCGUGUGGCCGUCGUGACAGAGGGUGAUAUUUUACGGUGCUAAUGCUUAAUAAUGGAAGGAAAGAUGCAUCAGUACUUUAACAAGUACUUGUACAUUUACAUCGAGUGAAACAUGAUUACUUUCUUCUUGAAAUAUGACAAACACAAACUCAAUCUAGGCUUUCUUCUUCUGAGCUGAAGAUGCAACCGAUGUUGUAGCAGUUAACGGGGCUGAGCAUGAGCAGAGACCACGCAAAACUGCAAUUACAGCAACCACGAUGAACGGAGUAUACAGCUGAAGCAGCCUCGGCGUUGCUUUUCCUGAGCCCAACAUGUCAACGAGUAUAGCGGACCGUAAUAAUUGCAGCCACCGUUAAAAAGGAACCGAGAAAAAUAAAUCUUCCACGAAAAUGGAGAAGAGGAUAAAGGUUAACUACCACAGGAGUGAUCUGCCAGCGACUGGAGAUUAACUACCUGUCGAGCGUCGACAAUUAGUCAUCGACGGAACCAGAAAAAAUAACUGGCGGUGAGGUAAUGCAUGAAAUUUGCUUAAAGAAUUAACCAAAUAUCCAAUUUUCAAUUUCACUAAAAAAACUCUCCAAGAUGAUAAUAUGAAAUGAGAAAUCUCGCCUGGUCAAUGAAGAAAGAAGCUAUGCUAUCACUUGAUCACUUGAAUGGAUCUUGAAGCGAGCAGGAAGAAAGGGCAAACGCAGGACCAAGAUGGGCACGUACCAAGUAGGUGAGCAUGUCGACCCCCGCCAUGAGGGAGGUGGUGGCCGCCUUACCACACUAGUACUACGUUGUCAAUUAUAAAUAAUCACCUCCUGCAUAAUUAAGAUUGCCUCAGGUUGCUAAAAAACAUUUCAUAAAUAUCAUGGCUUGAUUGUAAGAGCAUCUUCAAUAGAAGAUGCAAAUUUAGAGAUGUGAAAACAGG
Molecule: long non-coding RNA, 931 nt
Filed under: Triticum aestivum (bread wheat)
Lineage: Eukaryota; Viridiplantae; Streptophyta; Magnoliopsida; Poales; Poaceae
Description: long non-coding RNA (TAES_LNC026828)
Source: RNAcentral